RNAcentral lists this ribosomal RNA (800 nucleotides) under uncultured delta proteobacterium. Its description in RNAcentral is "bacterial SSU rRNA". It matches the Rfam family "Bacterial small subunit ribosomal RNA", at positions 708 to 1499 of the family's 1533-position model. The record is from RNAcentral. Lineage: Bacteria; Deltaproteobacteria.
CGUGGCGAAGCGGCGAACCUGGUUCGAUACUGACACUGAGGUGCGAAAGCGUUGGGGAAGCAAACAGGGAUUAGAUACCCCUUGGUAGUCCACGCCGUAAACGAUGAGUGCUAGAUGUUUCUGGUAUUGACCCCGGAGGUUCGUAGCUAACGCGUUAAGCACUCCGGCCUGGGGAGUACGGCCGCAAGGCUAAAACUCAAAGGAAAUUGACGGGGGCCCGCACAAGCGGUGGAGCAUGUGGUUCAAUUCGACGCAACGCGAAGAACCUUACCUGGGUUGGAACCCUCCAGAAGUCCGCAGAGACGUGGAUGUGCCCGCAAGGGAGCUGGAUGUCCAGGUGCUGCAUGGCUGUCGUCAGCUCGUGUCGUGAGAUGUUGGGUUAAGUCCCGCAACGAGCGCAACCCUUGUCGUUAGUUGCCAGCGGUUCGGCCGGGCACUCUAACGAGACUGCCGGUGUUAAACCGGAGGAAGGUGGGGAUGACGUCAAGUCCUCAUGGCCCUUAUGCCCAGGGCUACACACGUGCUACAAUGACCGGUACAAAGGGUUGCUAACCCGCGAGGGUACGCUAAUCCCAAAAAACCGGCCUCAGUUCAGAUUGGAGUCUGCAACUCGACUCCAUGAAGUCGGAAUCGCUAGUAAUCCCUGAUCAGCAGGCAGGGGUGAAUACGUUCCCGGGCCUUGUACACACCGCCCGUCACACCAUGGGAGUCAGUUGCUCCAGAAAUGGCUACGCUAACCCGCAAGGGGGGCAGGUCCUUAAGGAGUGACUGGUAACUGGGGUGAAGUCGUAACAAGUAAC